This is a long non-coding RNA of Homo sapiens (human), 3105 nucleotides long. RefSeq lists it as uncharacterized. The transcript has 3 exons. Lineage: Eukaryota; Metazoa; Chordata; Mammalia; Primates; Hominidae. The record is from RefSeq and is a predicted model, not a curated record.
AGUGAAGUCAAGUCCAGGCUGGGAUCUGAAACAGAAGGGACCCCAAAGGGACUGAGUUCUUUCUCCAUUCACAGGCACCCGUGGGAGGCAGGAAAUGGAGACCAGAGGUGAACCUGCAUGUUUUGGAAUGCAUUCCAUUCUAACUUAACCCCCAAGGAGCAGAAACCCAAGCUGGGAAGGAGGAGCCCCAGAAAGAGGGAGAAGGAGACUGCACUCUCUUCUCCCGCCAGAGGCCUCAAGCAGUUCUGAGCUGAAGGAAUAGAGCAGCUUCCUUGUGAGCAUUCCCCUAAUAUGUCACCUGCACCUGAAUGCAGGGCUCGGAUUCGGCUUCUGGUGGACCUGGCUGAAUCAGUCAAUAUCAGCUGGAUGAAUGAAGAACUUUUACUGAGAGGCUUUCUGGGACUCUGGAAUGCAUGGCCCAAGGAAACAUUGGGCCACGUGGAAGAAAGUCCUUCUAGGGUUAGAUUAGAUGUCCUCUUUCAGGUGAUGUACAGGCUGAGGACUUUAGGAAUUGUGGGCUAUUGCUCCUACUUGUCAUGUACUUGGAGGGCUAGGAGGAUGGAAGGGUAAGUUUUAUCAUUGUUCACCUCAUUGGCUCAUCCGGGCUGGCCUAGAUGUGCUUGUCAUGAACAGGAAGCCUGUGAAGGGAAGUGUGUGUGUGUGUGUGUGUGUGUGUGUGUGUGUGUGUGUGUCUCACGUACCUGGUUCGGGAGUCCAGGAAGGCCUUGUUGACUUGGACCUUGGCCUGACUCACAGUAUCGGAGAUGGCAGAGGUUCUGGUAGUCUGCGCUUGGGGUUGGAGUGGGGAGCAGGAAGUAGGGUGUCAGACACCACUCCUUUGCGAUGUCUUCUGCUUUUGUCUCCCUCUUUCUCGGCCAUUACCCCCACCCCUCAAAUCUGGGUAGGCAGGAGAUCAAGAUUAGGAAAGUUUCAUAAGAGUCCUUAAGGGGAAAAAGCACAGAAUGGGAAGAAUACUCUUGGAUCUUCAACAAGAUGUCAAAAUUGCUCUUUGAGAUCUCACUAGAAUGCCCAGAGAUGGGAUGAAGAGGGAGUGUGGCCACUCAGGGUGGCUUGGGCUACUGGACUGUGGGGAUUUCUCUGGUUCCUGGUGAGAUGGUCUUGUGGACUAUCUCAAGUUCAUCAAAGAGGACCCACUGAUCACCAGGACCCUGACGUACAGAAGGGGAUGGCAUGAGAGUAAUGGUGGGAUUCCCUGUUCCCUCUUGUAUUGGGGUCUGGAGCAUGGAGGACAGGAUCUGUUUUCUCAACAAGGAGAGUGUAGUGGGUUAAAUAAUGGCCCUCCCAAAAUUCACAUCUGCAUGGAACCUCAGAAUGUGACCUUAUUUGGAAGUAGGGUCUUUGUAGAUGUUAUGAAUUAAAAUGAGGUCAUACUGCCUUAGCAUCGGCCCUAAAUCCAAUAAAUGGUGGUUUUAUGAGAAGAGGAGAGGACACCCAGUGAAAAAGGCCACGCAAAGACUGAGGCAGAGAUUGGAGUGUUGCAGCUACAAGCCAGGGAACACCAAGGAUACCAGGGCCACCAGAAGCUGGAAGAAGAAAGGAAGCAUUCUUCCCUAGAGCCUUCAGAGGGAGCACAGCCCUGCCAACACCUUGAUUUUGGACUUCUAUCCUCCCGUACUGUGAGAGAAUACAUUUCUGUUGUCUUAGGCCAUCCAGUUGGUGUGCUUUGUGACAGCAGCCCCAGAAAACCCGUAAAGGGAGACACUCACCUCUUGUGGUAGAUGCUGCAGCCUGAAGCAAGAUGAGGGAAGCCAGGAGGGCUGGGAGAUGGAGAAGGACCCUCAUCACUGAAACGAGAUGCAGGAUCACACUGUGAGCCUCUCUAGAGACCAAGUGGGAGGGUUUGAACCACAGAAAGCAGAGAAAGCCAAAGGAGCACCAGACACCCUAAUAUUGGAACAGGAAAGGAGAAACCACAUUAACGAAUGAAGCAUCUACCAUACACACAGGCCUGUGCUAGGUACUGGGAGAGAUGGAAAGAGGAGAAGACAUGGUGGAAGGGAAAGAACUCAGGCUUCAGGAUCUAAGGCCCUGAGUUAUCAUUCUGCAUUUGCUCCAAUAGCUCUGUGACCUUGGGCAGGUUACUUAACAUCUCUGGGGUCCUGGCUUGCUAUGGGAGGAGGUGGGACCAAGUGAUCCAGAAUGUUCAAUUCUGCCCUGACAGCCUGUGGUCGGGAGAUGCUGUACCUGUCUUGUCACAGGUGUGAGAAACGCUGUUACCAAGGCUGGAGCCUGCCUUUGAGUUCCCCUCCCUCCUUCCCUGCAGGAUGCAUUGCUCCCUGCAAGCCAGUUUCCUCUGGCCCAGCCCCAGGAGAGAAUGCCUGAGAGGCAGACACUCAGCGCCUCCCUUCGGAAACCUGGCAGGGGCUUCCCCUUCCCUCAAAGUGCCAACUUGAUGGCAAUACUGAAAGAAAGUUAUGACAAAGCUCAGAGCUCCCCUGAGCCCACAGCUGUGCCCCAGGCUGCCUGGAAAGAUUCCAGCUCAUGGAUUAACCUCUUUGCCAUGAGCUUUAACUCUGAAUGCAAAUCUUUAGACUGAAAUUUGUGAAGCUUUGUUUUCUGAUGAGGGUCUUCACUGGGCUUAGUGGAGCAGACCCCAUACAUCUUCUGAGGAGAUUCUGGCUCCAGCCCGGGGUGGCAGCCACAGCGUGCAGAUGGAAUGAUUGUGUGUUUAGACCAUGGUCCUGAGAGGCUCCUCAGCUUUCACAAGGGCGCCUGUGCUCUCCCUGCAGCACGGCGUUCACUGGUGGAAUCCAGAAGCACACUAAGGAGAGCAGCCUCAGGUUGCCCCCCAGCCAUGUCUCCCCAGGGCUCAGCUCCCAGAGAGAAAUCAUAGUUCUGGAGCUUUGCCUGACAGACUUCCCCGUAUGUCUUGCAGACCCUCUCCAAAUCAUCUCCCUUUGGAAUAGGCCAGACCAGGAGACCUCUGUAUAUGGAUCAGGUCAUUUCAGCCUCCUUCACCCCUGCCUGCCUCCAAUUUUUCCCUCUGCCCUUUCGUGGUCCCCCUAAUAAUUUGUAUCUUGUUGUACUUUUUGCCAGCUAACUCUAGAGAAGGGGCAAGGCAUGAAUAAAUACCUCUCUGGCCAA